This 451-nucleotide ribosomal RNA is filed under the name uncultured bacterium. Its description in RNAcentral is "bacterial SSU rRNA". It matches the Rfam family "Bacterial small subunit ribosomal RNA", at positions 354 to 796 of the family's 1533-position model. The record is from RNAcentral.
GUGAGGAAUUUUGCGCAAUGGGGGCAACCCUGACGCAGCAACGCCGCGUGAGUGAUGAAGGCCUUCGGGUCGUAAAGCUCUGUCAAGUGGGAAGAACCUGAUUGUGGUGAACAGCCAUGGUCAUUGACGGUACCACUGAAGGAAGCACCGGCUAACUCCGUGCCAGCAGCCGCGGUAAUACGGAGGGUGCAAGCGUUAUUCGGAUUUACUGGGCGUAAAGGGCGCGUAGGCGGUUGGACAAGUCAGGUGUGAAAUCCCGGGGCUUAACUCCGGAAGUGCAUCUGAUACUGUUCGGCUUGAGUAUGGUAGAGGGAAGUGGAAUUCCUGGUGUAGCGGUGAAAUGCGUAGAUAUCAGGAGGAACACCGGUGGCGAAGGCGACUUCCUGGACCAAAACUGACGCUGAGGCGCGAAGGUGUGGGGAGCAAACAGGAUUAGAUACCCCGGUAGUCC